UACAGAGGUCUCAAGCGUUGUUCGGAUUCAUUGGGCGUAAAGGGUGCGUAGGCGGCGCGGUAAGUCGGGUGUGAAAUCUCGGAGCUUAACUCCGAAACUGCAUUCGAUACUGCUGUGCUUGAGGACUGGAGAGGAGACUGGAAUUUACGGUGUAGCGGUGAAAUGCGUAGAUAUCGUAAGGAAGACCAGUGGCGAAGGCGGGUCUCUGGACAGUUCCUGACGCUGAGGCACGAAGGUCAGGGGAGCAAACAGG
Molecule: ribosomal RNA, 253 nt
Filed under: uncultured bacterium
Lineage: Bacteria
Description: partial 16S ribosomal RNA
Rfam family: Bacterial small subunit ribosomal RNA
Source: RNAcentral